Molecule: long non-coding RNA, 2332 nt
Filed under: Nicotiana tabacum (common tobacco)
Lineage: Eukaryota; Viridiplantae; Streptophyta; Magnoliopsida; Solanales; Solanaceae
Description: long non-coding RNA (NTAB_LNC008780)
Source: RNAcentral
UCAUUGCUAUCCUCAUUUGCAUAUUUCAGAUCAAAUAUUCAGGGAAGGGAGAGCUGGUUUAAAUGCAGUAAUUGCUGUAGAGGUAGAAAAAUAUUCACAAAAUGGUCAAGAUCUAUAUGAGUUUUAAUCACGCAAAAACCAUAUAAAUAGAUGUAUUUUUAGGUCAAUUGAGUGAACACAUUGAUCAGUUUUUUUCCUUUCAGUCUAUACUCGUCUUUUGAAUAGUCAACAACAACAACAACAAACCCAGUGUAGUCCCAAAAGUGGGGCUUUUGAAUCUAAGUCAAUUACAAUUAUUUAAAAAAAAAAAGGAAAAAAAGGCUAACAUUAAUAUUUAAGUCACAUGGAGUGGGUUUUUUUUUUUUAAUCACAUUGUCAUAAGAAACAUCUGAGCAUAAAUAGUAGGUAUGUCAGUAGCAUUGAAGAAUAGUUGUUUGUGGUUUGGCGAGCAAAACAUACAUAGUAGAAAGAGCAGAUAUGAAUUCCAAAGAUGACUUAUUGAGCGUGAACCAUCUGUUUAUACCCAAUGAUUCUUCAAGUUAAUAAGCGCAAGCAUUUAGAUAAUGCGAAACAAUGAUUACUUUUCCAAUUACCAGCAUAACUACAUGAGACCAAAGACACAUUCUACCAACACCAUACACCAAAUAAAGGUAUUUGCUAAAUAGUUUAAUCAAGCAGACGUAAUUACGUAACAGUUGGGGAUAAAUCUCAAUAGCUACAGUCCCAGAAUAAGACACUCAGUAUGCAAAAGUUCAAAGAGAGUCCCAUUAGGAGCAUACUCAAAAUCCAUCAUUCUGGUAAAGCAACAUGGAACUUGCAUGAGUCAAGUGUUUUUAUCAAAUUAAUUGAAAUUCUGGAGCACAACUUUGCCUCCCAAUUUCAAAUCUCUUAAUGGACAACGAACACAGUUCAGUUCCAUAAACUGUUGAUUCUUUAUUACACCAAUCAGUAAACCUCAAACAUGUCAAAUUCAACACUUUAGAGAUGUAAUUAUCUCAUCCACGCAAGAGUAGAAACUUACCAAGAAGGACAACAUCAGAAACUGCAUUUUUGUGAAUUUUUGUGGCACAGAUCAAAUUUCUCUGGCAGUUCUGGAGUUGAUCCGAAUGCAAUAUCCAUAAGUCCCACAUUCAUGACAUGUUUAGAAAUUGUUUUAUGCAGAAGAAAGUUGAGUUCGUUAAGACAUUAAUAACACACUUUUACAACUUCAAGUCAAGUACCUAGAAUAAGUCAAUGAUUCAUCAUUGUCUAUAGAAGCAACCCUAUCAACCCCUACAUAGCAAUCACCAAUAAAGAAGUUAGGAAUGUCAGAAAUUAGUUCCAAACAUCUUAAUCGAACAUGUUGUGUAUGAAGUUUUCUAACUCUAAUAGGACUGCAAGAAAUAGCAAUACGUAAAGACAUGAAACACAAAUAAAAGAUAAAAAGUAAAUGACACCAACAAACAGUAAAUUUAACCUGCUUUUAGGGAGCUUAGAUUUCCAAUCAAGCGUUAUGUAUAGCUUCACGCCUUCACAUGAGCUAAAAAUAUAGUUGUGAGGGCAGGGUAGCAAUAAAUAUGCUCUAAUCAGCCAAUUGAUUCAUAUAGGUCUUAGAGGCACAUCAGCAAACACCUUGAGUGCUUAGUCCACUUCAAAUUCCAGUAAGCAAACAAUAAAAAAAGAUUAAAUAAGUAGAAUAAAACAAAUCGUAAUGAAAAAGUAUAUCCCAAAUCAAGAGAAACCAAAAUUCCAGCUGCAAUUUUAAUUUGAUACCUCGGAUUUUCGGCAAGACGUUUAGCUCUGCACUAAUUAGUUGGUAGCAAAAGAAAAAAUUCAUCUAAUAAAAGUCAUAAUGCAUGUAUAAAUCAGGUACAAUUACUGACAUGCACAUAAAAUUUGUAGCAUGAAAUUUAUUCAAAAGAAGAGUAAGCUAAUAUAUAUUCUCUAAAUUGUCAUCUCCAACAAAGUAACUUCAACAAAUAAAGAAAUAUUGCAUAAAAAAAUUACCCAAAUAGAGCUCGUAUCAGAUACAAAUAGAAAAAAAUGGAUAAACUUUAAAAAGAGUAAGGACCCAAAUUUUGAUUACCAACAAAUUAAAGAAGUAUAAGGAAGUACAAUAGAGAAAGGAGAGGCAGUAGAAGAAUGCACGAUUCCAUGAACCUCAACAGCGCAGCUAUAACCACGGUAAUACUAACUGUUAAUAAAAGGUAGGAAUCGAGAAAGCUGAAGGAAUUGUACACGUGUAUAGCGGUAAAAGUUCUAUGAUAUGCACAAAAACAAAGCCAUAUUCUUUUUUCUCUUUUUCAGUUGCCCAUUGAGUAACAAAUAUCAUUAGAGGAGUAAUAAAGUAAUU